UGCCUACUUCCAUUGUAAAAUAAUGGGAUCUUGAGUCUUCGCUCUCUCUUCACUAUCUCUUUCGCUGAUUAUGACAAAUGGAGAUGUUGCAGACAGUGAAGAGGCAAAGGUUGUGAUCAGCAGGUGGUGGCCAAUUGGGUGAAAUGUGUUGAAAAGGUGAUAUCAAAUGAUAAUAGGGAAUGAAGGUUGUGAUCAGCAGGUGGUGGCCAAUUGAAUGAGAAGCGUUGAAAAUGUGAUAGCAAAUGAUAAUAGGGAAUGGUGACAAAGAAGGAGAUUAAUAUGAGAACAAAGAAAAUGGAGAGAAAGGAAAGAGAUUAAUU
RNAcentral lists this long non-coding RNA (320 nucleotides) under Ricinus communis (castor bean). Its description in RNAcentral is "long non-coding RNA (RCOM_LNC001296)". Lineage: Eukaryota; Viridiplantae; Streptophyta; Magnoliopsida; Malpighiales; Euphorbiaceae. The record is from RNAcentral.